Molecule: ribosomal RNA, 315 nt
Filed under: uncultured bacterium
Lineage: Bacteria
Description: bacterial SSU rRNA
Rfam family: Bacterial small subunit ribosomal RNA
Source: RNAcentral
UCUCAUGCCCUUUAUGUCCUGGGCUACACACGUGCUACAAUGGUUGGUACAAGAGGGAAGCUAUAUAGUGAUAUAAUGCAAAACUCCAAAGCCAAUCCCAGUUCGGAUUGUAGGCUGCAACUCGCCUACAUGAAGUCGGAGUUGCUAGUAAUCGCGGAUCAGAAUGUCGCGGUGAAUGCGUUCCCGGGUCUUGUACACACCGCCCGUCACACCAUGGGAGUUGAUAAUACCCGAAGCCUGUGACCUAAUUGAGGAGCAGUCGAAGGUAGGAUUGAUGACUGGGGUGAAGUCAGUAACAAGGUAGCCGUAUCGGAA